This 78-nucleotide transfer RNA is filed under the name Symbiobacterium thermophilum IAM 14863. Its description in RNAcentral is "tRNA-Asn". It matches the Rfam family "tRNA". Rfam says of the family: Transfer RNA (tRNA) molecules are approximately 80 nucleotides in length. Their secondary structure includes four short double-helical elements and three loops (D, anti-codon, and T loops). Lineage: Bacteria; Bacillati; Bacillota; Clostridia; Eubacteriales; Symbiobacteriaceae. The record is from RNAcentral.
UCCGGCAUAGCUCAACGGUAGAGCAUCCGGCUGUUAACCGGAGGGUUGUAGGUUCGAAUCCUACUGCCGGAGCCAGCU